This is a non-coding RNA of Thamnophis sirtalis, 417 nucleotides long. The record is from RefSeq and is a predicted model, not a curated record. Lineage: Eukaryota; Metazoa; Chordata; Lepidosauria; Squamata; Natricidae.
AAAUUUUAAUAAAUUCAAAUUCAAAUUCAAAUUCAACAAAAUAUAAGAUGGUAUAGAUUUCUUCUAAGUGUUUUCAUUUGGAAUUUUGGGUUGCAGAUGUUGCCACUGCAAAAGAUCUCAAGAUUUAUUGUAAGGGAUACCCAAAGGAAGCCUGCACAAAGGAGUACAAUCCGCACUGUGCCUCUGAUGGAAAAACCUAUGAUAAUCAGUGUUUCUUCUGCAAUGCAUAUAUUCACAGUGCUAGAACUCUUCAGCUGAAAUACCUUGGAAAAUGCAAGUAAUGUGAAGACGUAGAAGAAGAUUGGCUAAAAGUAUUUGAUUCCUUCAAAUACAGAAACAUCACUGUAGAUUGUAGAUUUGUAGAUUUUCUUAAUAUUUGUAGGCCGCCCUUUUCCCUGAGGGGACUCAGGGCGGCUC